Long non-coding RNA from Vigna radiata var. radiata (mung bean), 632 nucleotides. RefSeq lists it as uncharacterized. The transcript has 4 exons. Lineage: Eukaryota; Viridiplantae; Streptophyta; Magnoliopsida; Fabales; Fabaceae. The record is from RefSeq and is a predicted model, not a curated record.
AAAGUCAUUUUACCAAAUCAGAUAUUCACUUUUUGCAACAUCAGUAAACACCACACACCACACUGCGUCCCUUUCUCAAGUGAAAAGGAAAACCCUAAACCGUUCUCCAUUGCAACUUGAAAGAGGUGGUUUUUGCAUCAAUCUUGGCCAACAAACUAUUGGAGGAGUGCUUCGCAGUGAGCUUUGGGAGAAAGAGGAGGCUCCAUUAGAGUUUAAUCGUGGUGGGACUAGGGUUUGGUCGGUGAAGGCUUUGUGGGUUGUGGACGUUGGCGCUGAGGAAGCACUCCUUGGUCCUUGGUCCGUUCAACAAGGUGGAGAUUUGGUACAGCUCUCGAGUUGGACGAAUAAGCCAUCUGGUUGAUGUUAGUUUUAUUAAGGACGAAAAAAGUUUUUUUGCAAUGGAAUUGGAAUAUGCUGAUAUUUGAUGUUAGUAGCCAGUGCACUUGAUUAUUACGUCAUAUAUUCACACUCUCUACCUUGAAAGUGCACACUAAAUAGGAAAGUUGAAGAUCCAAUUACUUGCUUAUUGUGAAAAUUGGGCCAGUGUAAGAAAUCCAAAACAAAAAGCCCAUAUCAUUAAAUACUGAAACUGAAACCAUUCUCUGCGCAAAUUGAGAGUGAAGCAACGACAA